This 791-nucleotide ribosomal RNA is filed under the name uncultured archaeon. RNAcentral describes it as "bacterial SSU rRNA". It matches the Rfam family "Archaeal small subunit ribosomal RNA", at positions 85 to 879 of the family's 1478-position model. The record is from RNAcentral.
ACGGCUCAGUAACACGUGGAUAACAUGCCCUAAGGUGGGGGAUAAUCUCGGGAAACUGAGGAUAAUACCCCAUAGGUCUGAUCUGCUGGAAUGCUUUCAGGCCGAAAACUCCGGUGCCUUAGGAUUGGUCUGCGGUCUAUCAGGCAGUAGUGGGUGUAACGGACCCACUAGCCCGUGACGGAUAUGGGCCUUGAGAGAGGGAGCCCAGAGAUGGACUCUGAGACAUGAGUCCAGGCCCUACGGGGCGCAGCAGUCGCGAAAACUUCGCAAUGGGGGCAACCCCGACGAGGGAAUUCCAAGUGCCAGCACUUUGUGUUGGCUGUUCUCCUGUCUAAAAAACAGGAGGAGUAAGGGGCGGGUAAGACGGGUGCCAGCCGCCGCGGUAAUACCCGCGCCCCUAGUGGUGGUCGAUAUUAUUGAGCCUAAAACGUCCGUAGCCGGUCUUUUAAAUCCUUGGGUAAAUCGGGCAGCUUAACUGUCCGAAUUCCGGGGAGACUGGAAGACUUGGGACCGGGAGAGGUCAGAGGUACUUCUGGGGUAGGGGUAAAAUCCUGUAAUCCUGGAAGGACCACCGGUGGCGAAGGCGUCUGACUAGAACGGAUCCGACGGUGAGGGACGAAGCCCUGGGGCGCAAACGGGAUUAGAUACCCCGGUAGUCCAGGGUGUAAACGCUGCGGGCUUGGUGUUGGGGGUCCUUAGUGGGCGCCCAGUGCCGGAGAGAAGUUGUUAAGCCUGCUGCUUGGGGAGUAUGUCCGCAAGGACGAAACUUAAAGGAAUUGGCGGGGGAGCAC